Molecule: long non-coding RNA, 150 nt
Organism: Chelonia mydas (Green sea turtle)
Lineage: Eukaryota; Metazoa; Chordata; Testudines; Cheloniidae
Exons: 2
Source: RefSeq, a predicted model, not a curated record
AAGGGCAACAAAAAUGAGUAGGGAUAUGGAACAGCUUCUGUAUGAGGAGAGAUAAAAAGACUGGGAUUUUUCAGCUUGGAAAAGAGAGGACUAACGGGGGAUAUGAUAGAGGUCUAUAAAAUCAUGACUGGUGUGGAGAAAGUAAAUAAG